This 200-nucleotide ribosomal RNA is filed under the name uncultured bacterium. Its description in RNAcentral is "partial 16S ribosomal RNA". It matches the Rfam family "Bacterial small subunit ribosomal RNA", at positions 8 to 224 of the family's 1533-position model. The record is from RNAcentral.
AGAGUUUGAUCCUGGCUCAGAACGAACGCUGGCGGCAUGCCUAACACAUGCAAGUCGAACGCGAGGGCUUUCGGGCCCUUGAGUGGCGCACGGGUGAGUAGCGCGUGGGAACCUGCCUUUCAGUGGGGGAUAACCGAGGGAAACUUCGGCUAAUACCGCAUGCGCCGGGAGCGAUCCCGGGAAAGAUUUAUCGCUGAAAG